AUUGAACGCUGGCGGCAGGCCUAACACAUGCAAGUCGAACGAGUGGCGGACGGGUGAGUAAUGUAUGGGAAACUGCCCGAUGGAGGGGGAUAAAUACUGGAAAAGGUAGCUAAUACCGCAUACCAUCGGAUGUGCCCAGAUGGGAUUAGCUAGUAGGAGGGGUAAAGGCUCACGUAGGCGACGAUCCCUAGCGGGUCUGAGAGGAUGACCAGCCACACUGGAACUGAGACACGGUCCAGACUCCUACGGGAGGCAGCAGUGGGGAAUAUUGGACAAUGGGCGCAAGCCUGAUACAGCCAUGCCGCGUGUAUGAAGAAGGCCUUCGGGUUGUAAAGUACUUUCAGCGGGGAGGCGUUACCCGCAGAAGAAGCACCGGCUAACUCCGUGCCAGCCGCCGCGGUAAUUC
This 406-nucleotide ribosomal RNA is filed under the name uncultured bacterium. Its description in RNAcentral is "partial 16S ribosomal RNA". It matches the Rfam family "Bacterial small subunit ribosomal RNA", at positions 30 to 526 of the family's 1533-position model. The record is from RNAcentral.